UACGUAGGUCCCGAGCGUUGCCCGGAUUUAUUGGGCGUAAAGCGAGCGCAGGUGGUUUAUUAAGUCUGGUGUAAAAGGCAGUGGCUCAACCAUUGUAUGCAUUGGAAACUGGUAGACUUGAGUGCAGGAGAGGAGAGUGGAAUUCCAUGUGUAGCAGUGAAAUGCGUAGAUAUAUGGAGGAACACCAGUGGCGAAGGCGAUUCUCUGGACUGUAACUGACGCUGAGGCUCGAAAGCGUGGGGAGCAAACAGG
This 252-nucleotide ribosomal RNA is filed under the name uncultured bacterium. Its description in RNAcentral is "partial 16S ribosomal RNA". It matches the Rfam family "Bacterial small subunit ribosomal RNA", at positions 524 to 776 of the family's 1533-position model. The record is from RNAcentral.